ACUCUAGUAGUUUAAUAAAAAACAUUGGUCUUGUAAACCAAAAACUGAAGACUACACCCUUCUUAGAAUA
RNAcentral lists this transfer RNA (70 nucleotides) under Phasianus colchicus (ring-necked pheasant). Its description in RNAcentral is "tRNA-Thr". It matches the Rfam family "tRNA". Rfam says of the family: Transfer RNA (tRNA) molecules are approximately 80 nucleotides in length. Their secondary structure includes four short double-helical elements and three loops (D, anti-codon, and T loops). The record is from RNAcentral. Lineage: Eukaryota; Metazoa; Chordata; Aves; Galliformes; Phasianidae.